RNAcentral lists this ribosomal RNA (440 nucleotides) under uncultured bacterium. Its description in RNAcentral is "partial 16S ribosomal RNA". It matches the Rfam family "Bacterial small subunit ribosomal RNA", at positions 338 to 795 of the family's 1533-position model. The record is from RNAcentral.
CCUACGGGAGGCAGCAGUGGGGAAUAUUGGGCAAUGGAGGAAACUCUGACCCAGCAACGCCGCGUGAAGGAUGAAGGUUUUCGGAUUGUAAACUUCUGUCGCGAGGGACGAAGAAUGACGGUACCUCGUAAGAAAGCCCGGCGAACUACGUUCCAGCAGCCGCGGGAAUACGUAGGGGGCGAGCGUUGUCCGGAAUGACUGGGCGUAAAGGGAGUGUUGGCGGCAAUAUAAGUUAGGUGUGAAAUCCCGCGGCUCAACCGCGGAACUGCAUCUAAAACUAUAUAGCUGGAGGGCAGGAGAGGUGAGUGGAAUUCCUAGUGUAGCGGUGGAAUGCGUAGAUAGUGCGCAGAACUCCGAUUGCGAAGGCAGCAUACCGGCGGCGAUCUGACGCUGAGGCACGAAAGCGUGGGUAUCGAACAGGAUUAGAUACCCUUGUAGUC